CUAAGAAUAUUCCGCAAUGGACGGAAGUCUGACGGAGCGACGCCGCGUGGAUGACGAAGGCCGAAAGGUUGUAAAGUUCUUUUGCUGGGGAAGAAUAACCGCAGGAGGGAAUGCCUGUGGGAUGACAAGAACCGGCGAAUAAGCCCCGGCCAACUACGUGCCAGCAGCCGCGGUAACACGUAGGGGGCGAGCGUUGUUCGGAAUUACUGGGCGUAAAGGGCAUGUAGGCGGCUUGGAAAGCCUGGCGUGAAAGUCUGCAGCUUAACGUCAGGGGUGCGCUGGGAACUGCUGAGCUUCAGUGACGGAGAGGGAGCUGGAAUUCCUGGUGUAGGGGUGAAAUCUGUAGAGAUCAGGAAGAACACCGAUGGCGAAGGCAAGCUCCUGGCCGAUGACUGACGCUGAGGUGCGAAAGUGUGGGGA
This 420-nucleotide ribosomal RNA is filed under the name uncultured bacterium. RNAcentral describes it as "bacterial SSU rRNA". It matches the Rfam family "Bacterial small subunit ribosomal RNA", at positions 355 to 767 of the family's 1533-position model. The record is from RNAcentral.